GACGAACGCUGGCGGCGUGCCUAAUACAUGCAAGUAGAACGCUGAAGCGAGGAGCUUACUCUUCUUGGAUGAGUUGCGAACGGGUGAGUAACGCGUAGGUAACCUGCCUUGUAGCGGGGGAUAACUAUUGGAGACGAUAGCUAAUACCGCAUAACAAUGGAUGACACAUGUUAUUUAUUUGAAAGGGGCAAUUGCUCCACUACAAGAUGGACCUGCGUUGUAUUAGCUAGUAGGUGAGGUAAUGGCUCACCUAGGCGACGAUACAUAGCCGACCUGAGAGGGUGAUCGGCCACACUGGGACUGGGACACGGCCCAGACUCCUACGGGAGGCAGCAGUAGGGAAUCUUCGGCAAUGGGGGCAACCCUGACCGAGCAACGCCGGGUGGGUGAAGAAGGUUUUCGGAUCGUAAAGCUCUGUUGUAAGUCAAGAACGAGUGUGGGAGUGGAAAGUUCACACUGUGACGGUAGCUUACCAGAAAGGGACGGCUAACUACGUG
RNAcentral lists this ribosomal RNA (497 nucleotides) under uncultured bacterium. RNAcentral describes it as "partial 16S ribosomal RNA". It matches the Rfam family "Bacterial small subunit ribosomal RNA", at positions 28 to 507 of the family's 1533-position model. The record is from RNAcentral.